GCCGGGCGUUGUGGCGGGCGCCUGUAGUCCCAGCUACUUGGGAGGCAGAGGCAGGAGACUCGCUUGAGCCCAGGAGUUGGAGGUUGCUAUGAGCUGUAAUGCCACAGCACUCUACCCAGGGGGACAGCUUGAGGCUCUGUCUCAAAAAAAAAAAAAAAAAAAAGAUGAGCAUUGGUAAACAAAUAAUGUCAUUAAAAAGGUUUUUUGAAAUAGAGAAUUUUUUUUUUUUUUUGAGACAUAGAGUCUCACUGUAUAGCCCUCGGUAGAGUGUAAUGGUGUCACAGCUCACAGCAACUUCAAACUCUUGGG
Molecule: small RNA, 309 nt
Filed under: Otolemur garnettii (small-eared galago)
Lineage: Eukaryota; Metazoa; Chordata; Mammalia; Primates; Galagidae
Description: Metazoan signal recognition particle RNA (ENSOGAG00000029933.1)
Source: RNAcentral